This 162-nucleotide ribosomal RNA is filed under the name Ptilotrichum canescens. RNAcentral's name for it is "Stevenia canescens 5.8S ribosomal RNA". It matches the Rfam family "5.8S ribosomal RNA". From Rfam's summary of the family: 5.8S ribosomal RNA (5.8S rRNA) is a component of the large subunit of the eukaryotic ribosome. It is transcribed by RNA polymerase I as part of the 45S precursor that also contains 18S and 28S rRNA. Functionally, it is thought that 5.8S rRNA may be involved in ribosome translocation. Lineage: Eukaryota; Viridiplantae; Streptophyta; Magnoliopsida; Brassicales; Brassicaceae. The record is from RNAcentral.
AACGACUCUCGGCAACGGAUAUCUCGGCUCUCGCAUCGAUGAAGAACGUAGCGAAAUGCGAUACUUGGUGUGAAUUGCAGAAUCCCGUGAACCAUCGAGUCUUUGAACGCAAGUUGCGCCCCAAGCCUUUUGGYCAAGGGCACGUCUGCCUGGGUGUCACAA